Molecule: non-coding RNA, 73 nt
Organism: Cordylochernes scorpioides
Lineage: Eukaryota; Metazoa; Arthropoda; Arachnida; Pseudoscorpiones; Chernetidae
Source: the annotation of a GenBank genome assembly
UGUUCCAGCCCGGGAUUGAACCAAAGAGCUUGUGUGUGUCAAACACACGUGAUAACCAUUACACCACUAAAUC